UACGGAGGGUGCGAGCGUUGUCCGGAAUUACUGGGCGUAAAGCGCACGUAGGCGGAUUUGUUAGUCAGGGGUGAAAUCCCGGGGCUCAACCUCGGAACUGCCUUUGAUACUGCAAGUCUCGAGUCCGAUAGAGGUGAGUGGAAUUCCUAGUGUAGAGGUGAAAUUCGUAGAUAUUAGGAGGAACACCGGUGGCGAAGGCGGCCCACUGGCUCGACACUGACGCUGAGGUGCGAAAGCGUGGGGAGCAAACAGG
This 253-nucleotide ribosomal RNA is filed under the name uncultured bacterium. Its description in RNAcentral is "partial 16S ribosomal RNA". It matches the Rfam family "Bacterial small subunit ribosomal RNA", at positions 524 to 776 of the family's 1533-position model. The record is from RNAcentral.